UGUGGCUACAGCUGAGGAAGAUGCCGUCGGUUUCGAAAGCGGUUUCUCGAGGUGGCGGGUGCGGUGGGUUCCCGCAGACCGAGCAGCCGACGCACUAUACGUAUCUAAAGGACUUUAGGACAGAGCAGUGCCCCCUAUUCUUGCAGCACAAGUGUACCCAGCACAGACCAUUUACCUGUUUUCACUGGCAUUUCCUAAAUCAGCGUCGUCGUAGACCCAUUCGAAGGCGUGAUGGGACUUUUAACUACAGUCCAGAUGUUUAUUGUACAAAAUAUGAUGAGACCACAGGAAUCUGUCCAGAUGGAGAUGAUUGUCCUUAUCUGCAUCGAACAACAGGGGAUACAGAAAGAAAAUAUCAUCUCAGAUAUUACAAGACUGGAACAUGUAUUCAUGAAACAGAUGCUCGGGGCCACUGUGUGAAGAAUGGACUCCACUGUGCCUUUGCUCAUGGGCCUCAUGACCUUAGACCACCAGUAUAUGAUAUAAGGGAACUUCAGGCACAGGAAGCCUUACAUAAUGGGCAGCUAGGAGGUGGAGAAAACAUCCCUGACCUACAGCCAGGAAUUUUAGCUAGCCAAGCAAUGAUUGAAAAAAUUCUUAAUGAGGAUCCUAGAUGGCUGGAUACUAAUUUUGUAUUAGCUGGCUACAAGACAGAACAAUGCAUCAAACCCCCCAGAAUCUGCCGCCAGGGUUAUGCAUGUCCCCAUUAUCACAACAGCCGAGAUAGAAGACGGAAUCCCAGAAAAUUCAAAUACAGGUCUACUCCUUGCCCCAGUGUAAAACAUGCAGAUGAGUGGGGUGAACCUUCCAAGUGUGAAAAUGGGGAUAACUGUCAGUAUUGCCAUUCUCGUACUGAACAGCAGUUCCAUCCUGAGAUUUACAAAUCUACAAAGUGCAAUGACAUCCGCCAAACAGGUUACUGCCCACGGGGUCCAUUUUGUGCAUUUGCACACGUUGAAAAGGACACCAUCAAUGUAGUCAUACUGCAAACUGGUUGUCAAUCAAAGCCAGGCGCUCAUCUGUUUUCAGCAGACAGCAUAGGAAUUGCCAAUGAAUGGAGCAGCAGUCUUAACUCCACAAACAGCAUUACAGAUAACAAUGGGCAAUCUGGAAAUAUUUCCUGUGCCUCAAGUCCAACAGUAAUGUCAAGCUCUGGUAGCUGUAGCUCAUUAUCGCCUAUUGGACCCCUUUGUAGGCAAAGAUCAUUAGCAAAUGGUGCUUUGUGUUCCGAGUGUAGCCCAUCAGGUGUGUCUUCACCAAAUUCUAGCUACCCAAAAGCACCAGGUUUUGAACGAGAGGAUCAGAUGAAACAGAAAAGCCUGCCAGCCGACAAUUAUCAGAAAAUAAGUGAACAAGACAAUAAGCAGAACCAUCUCAGUGUUUUUUCAGUGAUUAAUCCACUUGCUUCAAGUAUAACCUCCAGUAUAACUUCUAGUCUGGCUUCCAGUAUUGGAUCAGAUAAUUCAUCCCCAACAGCUCUCUCAGCUAUCAGUACUAAAGCUCUCCCAUUCUACCCUGGCAGUAAUACAGUUGAAUCAGUUAUAGGUUCUGCUUUAGAUCUACAUUUUAGUGAUAUAAAUGUUGCAUCUUUAGAUAAAGAAUUAGAAGAUCAAGAAAACAGUGACCUUGGAUUAACAAGUCAAAGGUUACUGGGAAGUUCAGCUCCUGUCAAUAUUCCAGGUUCUGUUGCUCGUUCCUCAUCUUUACAUUCAUCAUCUUCCCUUUCAACCUCUCCACUCAGUUCUCUUUCACAGUCGUUGUCUCAGUCUUUUAUUUCAUCCACUAUGGCUCCUCACCAACAGCAGACUCAGCCUUUGAAAUCAGAACAUAGUAUGUUAGGCACUUCAGCCUCUUCUCAUAACUCUUUAGGUUUAAAUGGUGUUACAGGGAGCAUUUGGGACUUCGUAACUGGGAGUUUCUCUCCUAGUCCAUCCCCAAUAUUGAACAGUAGUACUAUACCCUCAACAAACUCAAACACCAAUGGAAGUGAAUUAGCUCAUGUUAGACAGGAACUUGAUGAUGCCAAUCAAAAAAUAAAACGAUGGGAAGAUUCUUGGCAACAAGUAAAGCAGGCAUGUGAUGCAUGGCAAAAAGAGGCCCAAGAGGCAAAGGAACGUGCUAAAGUGGCAGAUGCUGACAAAAAACUAGCUCUUCGGAAAAAAGAAGACUUAGAAAAUAAAUUUAAAAAGCUGCAGGAACAAUUUGAUAUGUGUCUGUCCACUACAGUACUCCAUAUGAAAAGCUAUGGCGAUAUAAAAAAGAUACCAUUACCAAAGCUUCAUUCUUUGCAAAACCAGCUGCGUUUAGAUUUAGAAACAGUAGAUGGGGUAAUUUUCCAACUUCAUUCAAAGAAGUGUGUUGUAUGCCAAGAACAUGACCGUAGUGUAAUCCUGCAGCCAUGUCAGCAUUAUGUACUUUGUGAACACUGUGCAGCUAAACAACAGGAAUGUCCUUGCUGCAAGAUGAAAAAAAGAAAUGGUGAUGAAGAGUCAUGGUACUUAUAAUCAUGUUAAUUAACUAAAUAUAUUUUAUGUUCUGGUAUUUUAGAUAAGAAUUAUAUCUGUAGUAAUUAAUCCAUUUACUAGUGCUAGACUGAUAUCCAUUUUGACCUUAAGAUAUUUUAAGUUGUUUUUACUAUAGGAAAUGUGGUUUGACUGCCUUUACGUAUUGAAUUCUAUUAAUGAAGUUCUAAAGUUCCAUGGUUAUUGCUCCCCCCCUGCCCUUUUCAGUUUUCCACUUACAUUCCUGGUGCACAAGCUACUCAGGUUCACUUACCACAUAAUCACUUCUUACAGGUGUGUACUCACAAUGCAUGAAUUGGGGAAUUUAUGUCUGUGCCUUCCAUUAGCAUUAAUGUAAGACACUCAUGUAAAUACAGUACUUGAUGGGAGGACCUUACCCCUCACCAUGUUUAUGGUGUGCUGUAAUCCUUUGCUGGUAUUUCUGAAUCAGUCUAACACUACUGUUUACUUGAUUUGAAGAAAUUUGAUUCCUGUAAAAGCACUUUGCUAACUGUUUUUUGUUAGAGUGUUAUAAAUUGGUUUAACCUGCUUUCUAGGGUUUAAUGUUUAUUUUUUUAAUAUGCGGUAUGAAGCUUUGCGUGUGUACUGUGAACUUAAUAUUUAUAUCAGAUUUACUGUUAAAUCAUUAUGAUAGUAUAGUAUAGUUAAAUUUCAUUUUUUGGCUUUAGUAGUUACUAAAUGAACAGUUACAUAUAAAUGAGAACUUGACUAGAAUUUUUACAGUUUAAGUCAACUGCAAACUAAUAGUAUUUAAGUAUACUAGCAGACAGUGACAUUGAAAGAAAGACAUGCGUAAAUAUUCAAAUACUUUUUUUAUUUUGUGAAACAAACCAAUUUUCUUAAACCACUGUGUAUUUGCAUAUUGUCCCAAGUUGGAUUUUUGUAGUUUUAAUGAAAGUAUUUGUAUAACUCCUAAUCUGUGUGAUUACUUAUCAUGCAUUGAUAUAAUCCAUAGCCACUUUUACCAAGUGCCUUUGCCUUGCACCCAAUAAAAUUGCAAAAUAUGUGAAGGAAACGAACAGUAUGCAAACAAUUUAUACCACCUAAUUCUGCACAGAACAAUUGGAUGAUAAUUAAAAUUCUCAACUUUCUGUAAUAGAAUUUCAAAAUAAUACUUUGCAAUGGAGAAAAGAUAUUAGGUUUUGUUUUUACAUAAAAAAAAAUACAAUACACCUUUAGGUUUAGCGCUAAAAUUAUUUAAAUAUUAUCAGACAAUGGUGCUUUGUUGUAAUGAUUUUUUAAAAAAGUUGUUGUCCAUAUUUAAUGCUGAUAAUUAGGAGUCUGCAGUUUAGGAGAAGUUGAUUAUUGUGUCUUAACACUGUAUUUUGUUACUUUCCUUAAAGUUAACUAUUCUUGUAGGGAAGAGUUACCUGUGGUGUUACUUUUCUUUCCCGUUAAAUACAGUGGCACUUUGAAUCACUUAGCUUUGCUGUUAGUAUUAAUGGACUUCUACACUUGUGGAGUCUUUGCCAAAGACUUUUUUUG
This is an RNA transcript of Chelonoidis abingdonii (Abingdon island giant tortoise), 4007 nucleotides long. It is a transcript of the gene named unk like zinc finger, with no coding region annotated. The record is from RefSeq and is a predicted model, not a curated record. NCBI's taxonomy places the organism in Eukaryota, Metazoa, Chordata, Testudines, Testudinidae.